RNA transcript from Capsicum annuum, 3840 nucleotides. It is a transcript of the gene named probable inactive receptor kinase At4g23740, with no coding region annotated. NCBI's taxonomy places the organism in Eukaryota, Viridiplantae, Streptophyta, Magnoliopsida, Solanales, Solanaceae. The record is from RefSeq and is a predicted model, not a curated record. The transcript has 5 exons.
UCCAUCCACCCUAUAACAAAGCUUAUCAUCUCUUCUUUCCCCUUGCUACAUCCUUGAAAAAUUGUUCACACAUUAAUUUGCUAAUAAUUUCUCAAACAAAUUUAACCCUAAGUUCAUUCAAAUUUCGAAUUCUUUAUAAAAUGGUGCAUUCACAAGAAUAAAAAUUUACGAACAAUAACAAUUUUGUGAUUGAUGAUGAUGAAAAGGAGUUAGAAUUUGAUGAAACGUCGUCGUCGUUGUCAUUGUCGUCGUCCGAUGAGUCAUCGGGCGAGGACGUUUGUAUGUUUGGAUCGGGUGAUACGAAUGUUCUUCAGUGGCUAUUGGCUUUAGAUUUGCAGGUUAUGGGAGCUUGUAGAGUGGGUGAAAGGUUAAAGCCUUUAUUGAAAAUUAAUGUAUCUGCUGGUGCUGCGGAAGAUCGAUUGCUUGCUCAUCUUAGUCAAGUUUUGGAGUUGAAGAAGGGGAAAAAAGGUGUUAUGGUGUGGUGGACGAUUGAUUGAUUGAUUGUUGCGAAUGCUGGAGGAAGAUUUGGUUGAAGUUAAGUUCCGUUUGUUCGAUGGAUCAGAUGUUGGUCCCUUUCGAUUUUCACUGGCUUCCACCGUUGCUAUGCUUAAAGACAGAAUUGUUGCUGAAUUGCCCAAAGUUGGGGAAGGGCACGCUUGGUAUGGCGUAUAAAGCGAUAUUAGAAGAUGCUACCACAAUGGUUGUGAAGAGGUUGAAGGAUGUAGGUGCUGGGAAGGAGGAGUUUGAGCAACAAAUGGAGAUUGUGGGAAGCAUAAAACACAAAAAUGUAGUCGAGCUUCGAGCAUAUUACUAUUCAGCGAGGGUAGUGUUGCUGCAAUGCUCCAUGAUUCAUGCUUCUCCUUUAUAUAACAAGAAUAGGUAUAUUAAUUAGUAACUUUUCACAUGAUUGACAAAAUCAGUUAUUUGCUAUCCCUAACUAUGCUGCUCAGACUCUUCAAAAUGCUGCCAGGUGCAUGUCGGAUCCUUCAAAAGUAGAACAUAUAUGGAGGAUCCAACACAAGUAUGACAACAUUCUUGGAGACUCCGAGUUACAUAGUCUCUAAGUGAGAUUUUAUGAUCAGUCAUGUAAGUUUAGUGAAUUGAAAAACAUAACAAUUAGAAACAACAUAGAAUCUUCCAAUCUAAAGGCCAACUAAUAUAAAUUGUCGUGUUAUGGGUAGUGCCAAAUGGAAAUCCACUGAGGUAUAUAUAUUCUAUGUUCCAUAUAUUUGUCUCAUUCCAUCUUAGCAGUUAGUUGUACCUAAAAUGUGGAUGAUCCUAACAUGGGGUUUACGCAUCUUUGUGGUGCAGUGACUCCUUUCUGUUAAUAAGAUAAUCAAAAUCCUAUCUCUAUUUUAUAAUUCCACAACAUAUUUUACUGUACAAAUCAUUGUCAAUACCCCUUUGUCUCUAGAGUUCGAUUAUUACACUAUUUUGACUGAAUUAUUUUAUAGGAUGUGGAUAAUCAUUUCUGAUCUCUAUCCACCUUUUUAUAGCAAGUCAAAAUCGUUCAUAAUUUUGUCGAGGUCCCAGUUUCUUUUUUCCCAAUUCUUUCUCCACCAAGCAUUUGCACAUGAUGUCAAACUGCAUGAAUGGCUAAGCUUAAAGGAGAAUAUUGUUUUUAGUUUGUUGGCAUCUUUCAUUACCAUUAUCACUGGUGGGACCUAAUUUAAUUGACUAGAAGUUUAGAUUAAGGAAUCCUAAGCUAUUGUCAACCUUAAUAUGCUUGAAUAUUUUGAGAACAUGACGACAAAAGACGUUAUGCUUAUGUUACGUAUUUACUCCCCUAUUUUUGCUGUUAGAGUUAGGAGUUCUGUUUUUCUCAAAUCAAAUGGAGUAAAAUGGAAACUUGUUGAAAGAAUUAACUUGGCCACAAAACAAAAAAGAAAAUCAUAGGAGUGCCAUGUGUAGCUUUCCACUAAGAUGAUAAGUCCUGCAAGGGAUAUUUUAAUUUUAGGUGCUUUGCAAUUUGCUUAUUCUAGCGAUAUUUUAAUUUUAAGUGCUUCUCAAUUUGCUUAUUCUAAGUUAAAGGACUGACCGACUAGGAGCUUCUAUGCAUAUUUAUUACUCUAAUAUUCGUCAUGUUAUAGAAUGAUAACAAAAAAAUUAAACAAACGAGAGAUAGAGGAUUGAACUCCUGAUCCUUUGCUUUUGUUAAAAUUGGAAUACCUGAUUUUCUUACAAGGCACUGAUAGGUCGCCUAUUUCUUCUAGGCUUGAAUCAAAAGAGACAAAAAUGCUUUAAUCCAGUUGUUUCCUUUGUAGUUCUUGUGAAACUUGUUCUUGCAUGUAUGUUUACUGUAAUCUCGUACAAACACGGUAUGAUAGAAAAACAUCUCUGAUCUCUGUGUUAACUGUUAUCAAAUAUUAAUAAAAUUCCCAUUUCAAAUUUUCAAUUAGAAAAUUACUUUAAAACUGUCAUUUAAACUUACAUGUGGAAUGACUGGUGUAUUACCUAAGGUUAUGGUUGAGCUCUUUGAUUCUUUCAUAAUAUUCAUCUUGGCCUCUUUCGGCAAUCUCUACAAGGUCUAUUACUUAAAUCUAUGUAUUACUAAAGCUAAGUAUAAGUUGGUAGACGUCUUGACACUCUGCUAGCAUGAGAGUUAUUUCUUGCUAGACAAAAAAUGUUUUGAGUGAUUCUCUUGCCCAAGAUCAAGUCCUUGAUACUCUUUGAUUCAACUUGCUCUUUUUAGAUCUUUCAACAUUCCGAUCUACCACCUGGCAAUUUUUGUUCACUCCUCUAGGUGGUCUGAUCACAUCUUUGCUUUUAUCUGUCUUGUGAUGUUUGAUUGAUGUAAUGUUAUGGUCAUAUCACUUCUCUCCUUAGCCUGAAUUAAGUAUGAUAUUAUAACCUUAAACUUUGGGUACAUGAUGCAGUCCUAAGCCAAAAUAUUCUUAGCAGUUUCAAAGGUUAAAUCUUCAACUUUUUGUUUAUUAUUGGAUUUACUUCUGGCUAUUUCUUUCUAAAUGAAACAAUUUUGUUGACUGUUUCUCUACUCCGAACUUGAUGCCAACUAUUCAAAUAAAUCAUUUAAGAAUUUCACGUGUCAGCAACAUUUUUGCUUAUGAAAAUUUAAUUUCUUAAUUCAUUUAGUUCUUCCUUAUCACUCUCCCCCCCACCCCUCCGGGUCAAAAAAAAUAAAUCAUGUGGUUCUUAUCAAUUGGCCGUAUAAACUAACAUCUGUCUAUACCACAUAAUGGCCAUAAAAAAGAUCCAUAGUGCAACACUAUCACUGCAGGAGGAAGAUGACUUUCUUCAAGCUAUCUCAAAUAUGUCGUGGUUGAGACACUCAAACAUUGUUCAAUUGAUAGGAUAUUGAGCUGAGCAUUGGCAACGUCUUCUGGUUUAUGACCAUGUCACAAUUGGUAGCUUGCAUGAUAUGCUGCACUUUGCUGAUGAGAGGAGUGAACUGCUUACUUGGAAUGCCCGGGUUAGAGUAGCUCUUGGCACUGCUCGAACUAUAGAUUUACAAAAUAUCUUCCGAAAGUUCUGGAGGCAAAUAGAAGUGAAGCUUCACAUUAUUAGAUAAUAUUUCUUCCAAACGUGGUAUUUUUGUUGAGAUUAAUAAAUGGUAAGAACUUGAUUUUUCUUAUUCUGGUUAUCCUGAUUUUACAUGGAGCUUUCUAAUACAAAAUAUUUUGUGGUUUGAAAGGACAUGUUUGGAUUGGUCUUAAGCAUACAGAUUAAAGUGUUAUAAUUUGGAUAAUAUUUGUACAAGUUAUUUUAAGUUUUUCUCUUAAUUUUGUAUUUUCUUAAUGGUAUUGUAAAGCUCUAAUCUUUGGAGUGAUUUUGUUGAUAUUAUUGAAUGAUAGAGUUGUUAUUUUUUUGUGAACUUGCUUA